AGUGAACGCUGGCGGCAGGCCUAACACAUGCAAGUCGAACGGCAGCACAGUAAGAGCUUGCUCUUACGGGUGGCGAGUGGCGGACGGGUGAGGAAUACAUCGGAAUCUACUUUUUCGUGGGGGAUAACGUAGGGAAACUUACGCUAAUACCGCAUACGACCUACGGGUGAAAGCAGGGGAUCUUCGGACCUUGCGCGAUUGAAUGAGCCGAUGUCGGAUUAGCUAGUUGGCGGGGUAAAGGCCCACCAAGGCGACGAUCCGUAGCUGGUCUGAGAGGAUGAUCAGCCACACUGGAACUGAGACACGGUCCAGACUCCUACGGGAGGCAGCAGUGGGGAAUAUUGGACAAUGGGCGCAAACCUGAUCCAGCCAUACCGCGUGGGUGAAGAAGGCCUUCGGGUUGUAAAGCCCUUUUGUUGGGAAAGAAAAGCAGCAGGUUAAUACCCCGCUGUUCUGACGGUACCCAGAGAAUAAGCACCGGCUAACUUCGUG
Molecule: ribosomal RNA, 492 nt
Filed under: uncultured bacterium
Lineage: Bacteria
Description: partial 16S ribosomal RNA
Rfam family: Bacterial small subunit ribosomal RNA
Source: RNAcentral